Non-coding RNA from Pelobates cultripes (western spadefoot toad), 347 nucleotides. The record is from the annotation of a GenBank genome assembly. Lineage: Eukaryota; Metazoa; Chordata; Amphibia; Anura; Pelobatidae.
UUGACCGUGGCGGUGGAGGAGGAGGAUGAGGUAGCCAACACUGUAUUUUAUGUUUGUUUUUUGUUUUUUAACUGGGGUAGCCCCCAAAAUAUUGGGACAUAUAAAAAAAGACAACUCUGUUCUGCAGAGUAACUGUUAACAUUAUAGUUGCACAGGAACUUUGUUGACUCUAGAGAACCUUGGGCAAAUCGCACAUCCCCGUGGCGGCGACUUUGCAUGAGGAUGUCAUCCAUAUCAACUUUCGAUGCCAGUUUCUGUGCCUACCAUGGUGACCACGGGUAACGGGGAAUCAGGAUUCCAUUCCAUACUGGGACCCUGAGAAAUGGCUACCAUAUGCAAGGAAGGCA